This 956-nucleotide long non-coding RNA is filed under the name Equus asinus (donkey). Its description in RNAcentral is "lncRNA (ENSEASG00005025380.1)". Lineage: Eukaryota; Metazoa; Chordata; Mammalia; Perissodactyla; Equidae. The record is from RNAcentral.
AGCCGCUGUCUCUGUGGGCACAGUUUCAGUUUUGCAAGAAGAAAAAUUCUGGAGGUGGAUUGCACAACAAUGUAAACACACUUAACCGAACUGCACGCCCAAAAACGGUCAUGACGGGCUGGCUGUGCCCACCUCACGUCUCUUCUUGGAAGCUCAGUCCCACCUCAGGGCCUUUGCACCUGCCGUUCCCUCUGCCCGGAAUUCUCUGUCUCCAGACAUCUGCACGGCUCCCCCUUCAGGGUCUCUCACAGGCUGCCGGCGGGUGUCAGCUGGGGCUGCGGUCUCACUGGAAGCCUCAAUCAGGGAAGGAAACCCCUCCUGCAGGCCUCGGCUUCAACACGAGCUCUUUGAAGAUGCAUUCCUGGCCCAGCACAACACUGAGGCCUGUACGGUCGAGUCAGCUCAGCAGCCCAGGGGGCCCUGAUCCUGCACGUUCCCAAGAAAGGCCCAUCUGCAAGCCCGGCCCUACUCCUAGGAUGUCACCUGCUUGCCCCUGGGGCGUCCUGCCUGUGAGAAUCUGCACCCUGGACCUCAGCCGGGAUGGACGCCCUUGGCUCCUGUGAGAUUCCGCUGGGCCUGGGCCCCCGUUCAGAAUCAGCGGGACCUCUGCAGGGGCUGCAGCCCGGGACAGCCACACGCUGGUCAGCCACGCCUACGCGCCCACCUCCCCGUAAAACGCUGGGCCCCAGGGCUCAGGCGGGUGUCCCUGCUUGGCGACAGUCCACGUGGAGAAUUCACGGCUGUCCGCUGACUCCAAGGGCGGACACUGGAAGCUGGCGCCUGGCCUUGCCGGGUCCCGCUCCUCGAGCUUUUGCUCUUUGCUGACUUUAAUCUGUAUCCUUCCCCUGUGAUAAACCGUAAUCACGAGUAGAACAGCUUUUCUGCGGUCUGUGAGUCCUAGUGAAUCAUGCACCCCAAGGGGGGUCUUGGGGACCGCCACCCAAGCCCCCCACCCC